Molecule: ribosomal RNA, 1499 nt
Filed under: human gut metagenome
Description: bacterial LSU rRNA
Rfam family: Bacterial large subunit ribosomal RNA
Source: RNAcentral
AAGAGACAGAACCAGUACCGUGAGGGAAAGGUGAAAAGAACCGCGGGAGCGGAGUGAAAGAGAACCUGAAACCGUAUGCCUACAAGAAGUCAGAGCCCGUUAAAGGGUGAUGGCGUGCCUUUUGUAGAAUGAACCGGCGAGUUGCGUUAUCGUGCGAGGUUAAGCAGAAGAUGCGGAGCCGAAGCGAAAGCGAGUCUUAAUAGGGCGACAGUACGAUGACGCAGACCCGAAACCGUGUGAUCUAGCCAUGACCAGGUUGAAGUUCAGGUGAAACUGAAUGGAGGACCGAACCGACCCCCGUUGAAAAGUUGGCGGAUGAGUUGUGGCUAGGGGAGAAAUUCCAAUCGAACACGGAUAUAGCUGGUUCUCCCCGAAAUAGCUUUAGGGCUAGCGUCGAGGAUGAGUCUUGUGGAGGUAGAGCACUGAAUGUACGAUGGCCCCAUCCCGGGGUACUGAGUAUAAUCAAACUCCGAAUGCCAUGAUAAUAUACUCGGCAGUCAGACUGUGGGUGAUAAGGUCCAUGGUCAAAAGGGAAACAGCCCAGACCGCCAGUUAAGGUCCCAAAAUGUAUGCUAAGUGGAAAAGGAUGUGGGGAUGCACAGACAACUAGGAGGUUGGCUCAGAAGCAGCCAUCCUUCAAAGAGUGCGUAACAGCUCACUAGUCGAGUGACCCUGCGCCGAAAAUGUACCGGGGCUAAGCAUACUACCGAAGCUGCGGAUUUGUAGUAAUACAAGUGGUAGGGGAGCGUUCCAUGCACGUGGAAGCCAUACCGAAAGGAGUGGUGGAGAGCAUGGAAGUGAGAAUGCCGGUGUGAGUAGCGAGAUGCAGGUGAGAAUCCUGCACACCGAAAGCCCAAGGAUUCCAGGGGAAGGUUCGUCCGCCCUGGGUAAGUCGGGACCUAACGCGAGGCCGAAAGGCGUAGUGGAUGGAAAACAGGCAGAUAUUCCUGUACCCGCGAUGGAAAUGAAGGAAUGACGGAGAAGGCUAGCAUGAGCCACUUAUUGGAUUGUGGUCGAAGCGAAUAGCAGGUGCAUAGUAAAAUGCGUGCACGGAAUGUAAAACGUGAUAGGUAAGCGAAACCUUUGGGGAGUAGCGAAGCAUGCGAGGCCAGCUUCCAGGAAAAGUUUCUAGUGAUGAUUCCAUAGCGGCCCGUACCAAAACCGACACAGGUGGGCAAGGAGAGAAUCCUGAGGUGAGCGAGAGAACUGUUGCCAAGGAACUCGGCAAAAUGACUCCGUAAGUUAGCGAUAAGGAGUGCUUAUGUAAAAGUAAGCCGCAGUGAAGAGGCCCAAGCGACUGUUUAACUAAAACACAGCUCUCUGCGAAGUCGCAAGACGAAGUAUAGGGGGUGACGCCUGCCCGGUGCUGGAAGGUUAAGAGGAUUUGUCAGUUUCGACGAAGCAAUGAAUUGAAGCCCCAGUGAACGGCGGCCGUAACUAUAACGGUCCUAAGGUAGCGACAUUCCUUGUCAGGUAAGUUCUGACCCGCAUGAAAGGCG